Molecule: ribosomal RNA, 583 nt
Filed under: Candida albicans
Lineage: Eukaryota; Fungi; Ascomycota; Pichiomycetes; Serinales; Debaryomycetaceae
Description: eukaryotic LSU rRNA
Rfam family: Eukaryotic large subunit ribosomal RNA
Source: RNAcentral
CCCGGGUGUGCCUCAGCUAGCGGCGAGUGAGCGGCAAAAGCUCAAAUUUGAAAUCUGGCGUCUUUGGCGUCCGAGUUGUAAUUUGAAGAAGGUAUCUUUGGGCCCGGCUCUUGUCUAUGUUCCUUGGAACAGGACGUCACAGAGGGUGAGAAUCCCGUGCGAUGAGAUGACCCGGGUCUGUGUAAAGUUCCUUCGACGAGUCGAGUUGUUUGGGAAUGCAGCUCUAAGUGGGUGGUAAAUUCCAUCUAAAGCUAAAUAUUGGCGAGAGACCGAUAGCGAACAAGUACAGUGAUGGAAAGAUGAAAAGAACUUUGAAAAGAGAGUGAAAAAGUACGUGAAAUUGUUGAAAGGGAAGGGCUUGAGAUCAGACUUGGUAUUUUGCAUGCUGCUCUCUCGGGGGCGGCCGCUGCGGUUUACCGGGCCAGCAUCGGUUUGGAGCGGCAGGAUAAUGGCGGAGGAAUGUGGCACGGCUUCUGCUGUGUGUUAUAGCCUCUGACGAUACUGCCAGCCUAGACCGAGGACUGCGGUUUUUACCUAGGAUGUUGGCAUAAUGAUCUUAAGUCGCCCGUCUUAAACCCGAACC